UGCGAGUCGAUGUAGCAAUACAUGGCGUACUGCUCAGUAACACGUGGACAACCUACCCUUAGGUCGGGGAUAAACCCGGGAAACUGGGUAUAAUACCCGAUAGAUCUCGACUGCUGGAAUGCAUCGAGAUCGAAAGCUCCGGCGCCAAGGAUGGGUCUGCGGCCUAUCAGGUAGUAGUGGGUGUAGCGUACCUACUAGCCUACGACGGGUACGGGUUGUGAGAGCAAGGGCCCGGAGAUGGAUUCUGAGACACGAAUCCAGGCCCUACGGGGUGCAGCAGGCGCGAAAACUUUACAAUGCUGGAAACAGCGAUAAGGGGACCUCGAGUGCCAGGUUACAAAUCUGGCUGUCGUGAUGCCUAAAAAGCAUUGCAUAGCAAGGGCCGGGCAAGACCGGUGCCAGCCGCCGCGGUAACACCGGCGACACGAGUGGUAACCGUUAUUAUUGGGUCUAAAGGGUCUGUAGCCGGCCGGAUAAGUCUCUUGGGAAAUCCAGCAGCUCAACUGUUGGGCUUUCAGGAGAUACUGUCUGGCUCGAGGCCGGGAGAGGUGAGAGGUACUUCAGGGGUAGGGGUGAAAUCUUGUAAUCCUUGAAGGACCACCAGUGGCGAAGGCGUCUCACCAGAACGGACCUGACGGCAAGGGACGAAAGCUAGGGGCACGAACCGGAUUAGAUACCCGGGUAGUCCUAGCCGUAAACGAUACUCGCUAGGUGUCGGCCACGGUGCGACC
Molecule: ribosomal RNA, 731 nt
Filed under: uncultured archaeon
Lineage: Archaea
Description: bacterial SSU rRNA
Rfam family: Archaeal small subunit ribosomal RNA
Source: RNAcentral